AAUGGCAUAAGCCAGCUUGACUGCGAGCGUGACGGCGCGAGCAGGUGCGAAAGCAGGUCAUAGUGAUCCGGUGGUUCUGAAUGGAAGGGCCAUCGCUCAACGGAUAAAAGGUACUCCGGGGAUAACAGGCUGAUACCGCCCAAGAGUUCAUAUCGACGGCGGUGUUUGGCACCUCGAUGUCGGCUCAUCACAUCCUGGGGCUGAAGUAGGUCCCAAGGGUAUGGCUGUUCGCCAUUUAAAGUGGUACGCGAGCUGGGUUUAGAACGUCGUGAGACAGUUCGGUCCCUAUCUGCCGUGGGCGCUGGAGAACUGAGGGGGGCUGCUCCUAGUACGAGAGGACCGGAGUGGACGCAUCACUGGUGUUCGGGUUGUCAUGCCAAUGGCACUGCCCGGUAGCUAAAUGCGGAAGAGAUAAGUGCUGAAAGCAUCUAAGCACGAAACUUGCCCCG
RNAcentral lists this ribosomal RNA (449 nucleotides) under Escherichia coli. RNAcentral's name for it is "partial 23S ribosomal RNA". It matches the Rfam family "Bacterial large subunit ribosomal RNA", at positions 2353 to 2801 of the family's 2925-position model. Lineage: Bacteria; Pseudomonadati; Pseudomonadota; Gammaproteobacteria; Enterobacterales; Enterobacteriaceae. The record is from RNAcentral.